Molecule: ribosomal RNA, 492 nt
Filed under: uncultured bacterium
Lineage: Bacteria
Description: partial 16S ribosomal RNA
Rfam family: Bacterial small subunit ribosomal RNA
Source: RNAcentral
AGUGAACGCUGGCGGUAGGCCUAACACAUGCAAGUCGAACGGCAGCACAGUAAGAGCUUGCUCUUACGGGUGGCGAGUGGCGGACGGGUGAGGAAUACAUCGGAAUCUACUUUUUCGUGGGGGAUAACGUAGGGAAACUUACGCUAAUACCGCAUACGACCUACGGGUGAAAGCAGGGGAUCUUCGGACCUUGCGCGAUUGAAUGAGCCGAUGUCGGAUUAGCUAGUUGGCGGGGUAAAGGCCCACCAAGGCGACGAUCCGUAGCUGGUCUGAGAGGAUGAUCAGCCACACUGGAACUGAGACACGGUCCAGAGUCCUACGGGAGGCAGCAGUGGGGAAUAUUGGACAAUGGGCGCAAGCCUGAUCCAGCCAUACCGCGUGGGUGAAGAAGGCCUUCGGGUUGUAAAGCCCUUUUGUUGGGAAAGAAAAGCAGCAGGUUAAUACCCCGCUGUUCUGACGGUGCCCAAAGAAUAAGCACCGGCUAACUUCGUG